UACGUAGGUGACCAGCGUUAUCCGGAUUUACUGGGCGUAAAGAGCGCGCAGGCGGUCGUUCAAGUCGAGUGUGAAAGCCCCCGGCUCAACUGGGGAGGGUCAUUCGAUACUGAUCGACUUGAAGGCAGGAGAGGGAAGCGGAAUUCCCGGUGUAGUGGUGAAAUGCGUAGAUAUCGGGAGGAACACCAGUGGCGAAGGCGGCUUCCUGGCCUGUUCUUGACGCUGAGGCGCGAAAGCUAGGGGAGCAAACGGG
Molecule: ribosomal RNA, 253 nt
Filed under: uncultured bacterium
Lineage: Bacteria
Description: partial 16S ribosomal RNA
Rfam family: Bacterial small subunit ribosomal RNA
Source: RNAcentral